This 253-nucleotide ribosomal RNA is filed under the name uncultured bacterium. RNAcentral's name for it is "partial 16S ribosomal RNA". It matches the Rfam family "Bacterial small subunit ribosomal RNA", at positions 524 to 776 of the family's 1533-position model. The record is from RNAcentral.
UACAGAGGUCUCGAGCGUUAGGCGGAAUCACUGGGCUUAAAGCGUGUGUAGGCGGAUCGUUAAGUGCCUUGUGAAAUCCCACGGCUCAACCGUGGAACUGCUUGGCAUACUGGCGGUCUUGAGCAACCUAGGGGCGAGCGGAACAAAUGGUGGAGCGGUGAAAUGCGUAGAUAUCAGGAGGAACACCUGCGGUGUAGACGGCUUACUGGACCAUCACUGACGCUGAGGCACGAAAGCGUGGGUAGCAAACAGG